RNAcentral lists this ribosomal RNA (372 nucleotides) under Triticum aestivum (bread wheat). RNAcentral describes it as "partial small subunit ribosomal RNA". Lineage: Eukaryota; Viridiplantae; Streptophyta; Magnoliopsida; Poales; Poaceae. The record is from RNAcentral.
AUGUCUUGUUUGCUUAAAGCACAUGAUAGUGGGGUCUGGGGUCUCUCGGUUGCACCCAAUGCACCUGCUGUCAAUCAUUUAUUGUUCACCGAUGAUAGCCUUCUAUUUUUUGAAGCAACAAGUGUUGGUGCAGCCAAGAUAAGAGAUCUUUUGAACACAUAUUGUGCUGCAUCAGUUCAACGCAUAAACACCGACAAAUCAUCCAUAUAUUUCAGCAAGAAGGUCCCGGAUUCACAGCGUUUGGAGAUUAAAAAUAUCUUGGAUGUGCACAACGAGGAAUUAUCCGAGAAAUACCUUGGCUUGCCCACUGAUGUGGGGAGGGAGAAAGAGGGAUGCUUCAGGUAUUUGAAAGACAGAAUAUGGAAGCAUAUU